GAUGAAGAACGCAGCGAAAUGCGAUAAGUAAUGUGAAUUGCAGAAUUCAGUGAAUCAUCGAAUCUUUGAACGCACAUUGCGCCCGCUGGUAUUCCGGCGGGCAUGCCUGUUCGAGCGUCAUUUCAACCCUCAAACCCCCGGGUUUGGUGUUGGGGAUCGGCUCUGCCUCACGGCGGUGCCGCCCCCGAAAUACAGUGGCGGUCCCGCCGCAGCUUCCAUUGCGUAGUAGCUAACACCUCGCAACUGGAGAGCGGCGCGGCCACGCCGUAAAACACCCAACUUCUGAAUGUUGACCUCGAAUCAGGUAGGAAUACCCGCUGAACUUAAGCAUAUCAAUAAGCGGAGGA
This 347-nucleotide unclassified non-coding RNA is filed under the name soil metagenome. Its description in RNAcentral is "partial contains 5.8S ribosomal RNA, internal transcribed spacer 2, and large subunit ribosomal RNA". The stretch from base 1 to 120 matches the Rfam family "5.8S ribosomal RNA", at positions 35 to 154 of the family's 154-position model. The record is from RNAcentral.